AUGACGUUGAUAGGUCGGGUGUGUAAGCGUAGCGAUACGUUGAGCUAACCGAUACUAAUGAACCGUGAGGCUUAACCUUACAACGCCGAAG
This 91-nucleotide ribosomal RNA is filed under the name Citrobacter freundii. Its description in RNAcentral is "partial 23S ribosomal RNA". The stretch from base 1 to 79 matches the Rfam family "Bacterial large subunit ribosomal RNA", at positions 2847 to 2925 of the family's 2925-position model. Lineage: Bacteria; Pseudomonadati; Pseudomonadota; Gammaproteobacteria; Enterobacterales; Enterobacteriaceae. The record is from RNAcentral. RNAcentral also lists the same sequence under 1 other name.